UCAAGCAAAAAAGAGCGCAGGGUGGAUGCCUUGGCACUAAGAGCCGAUGAAAGACGUGAUAAGCUGCGAAAAGCUGCGGGGAGGAGCAAAUAUCCACUGAUCCGCAGAUGUCUGAAUGGGGAAACCCGCAUGAGCACACCUCAUGCAUCCAUACGCCAAUCCAUAACGUAUGGAGGGGAACCGCCUGAACUGAAACAUCUAAGUAGGGCGAGGAAGAGAAAGAAAAUUUAUCGAUUUCCAAAGUAGCGGCGAGCGAAAUGGAAAGAGGCCAAACCGGAGUGCGUGCACUCCGGGGUUCGGACCGCAUUUAAGAUUCAGUAAAUCUAGCAGAAAGGUUUUGGGAAAGCCUGCCGGAGAGGGUGAAAGCCCCGUAAGCGAAAGGAAAGCCAGCUGAGCGGUAUCCAGAGUACAUCGAGACACGAGAAACCUUGAUGGAAUGAGCGGGGACCACCCCGUAAGCCUAAAUACUCCUUAGUGACCGAUAGCGCAUAGUACUGUGAAGGAAAGGUGAAAAGGACCCCGGGAGGGGAGUGAAAGAGAACCUGAAACCCUGUGUUUACAAGCUGUGGGACAUCUUUACAUGAUGAACCGCGUACUUUUUGUAGAACGGUCCGGCGAGUUGCGGAUGCCGGCAAGGUUAAGCACUUAAGGUGUGGAGCCGAAGGGAAACCAAGUCUGAAGAGGGCGUAUAUAGUCAGUAUCCGCAGACCCGAAACCGGGUGAUCUACCCAUGUCCAGGUUGAAGUUGCCGUAAAAGGCAAUGGAGGACCGAACGCACAUCCGUUGAAAAGGGUGGCGAUGAGGUGUGGGUAGGGGAGAAAUUCCAAUCGAACCCGGAGAUAGCUGGUUCUCCUCGAAAUAGCUUUAGGGCUAGCCUCAUAUUAGUCUUGUGGAGGUAGAGCACUGAAUUUCCGCGGGGGCGUCAAAGCUUACCAAAGAAUAUCAAACUCCGAAUGCCAUGUAGAUGAUGAACGGGAGUCAGACUGCACGAGAUAAGUUGGGCAGUCAAAAGGGAAAGAGCCCAGACCUGCUGCUAAGGUCCCAAAGUACGUGUUAAGUGGAAAAGGAUGUGGGAUUUCGAAGACAACUAGGAUGUUGGCUCAGAAGCAGCCACACAUUCAAAGAGUGCGUAACAGCUCACUAGUCGAGAGGUCCUGCGCCGAAAAUGUCCGGGGCUGAAACACAACACCGAAGCUGCGGAAUCACGCAAGUGAUUGGUAGAGGAGCAUUCUUAAUACCGACGAAGCUGUACCGGAAGGAGCAGUGGAGGGAUAAGAAGAGAGAAUGCCGGAAUGAGUAGCGAGAGAGAGGUGGGAAUCCUCUCGGCCGAAUAUCCAAGGUUUCCAGAGUAAAGCUGAUCUGCUCUGGGUAAGUCGGGGCCUAAGGCGAGGUCAAAAGACGUAGCCGAUGGACAACAGGUUUAGAUUCCUGUACCGCAUAUAAACAGAACUGUGGGGACGCAUGGGGAGAGCAUGGGCCGGGAAUGGAAAUACCGGUGCAAGCGAAGGAGGUGUGCAGCCGGCAAAUCCGCUGCAUAAGCCGAAAGCGUGACGCGGAGCGAAAUAAAAGUAGCGAAGCAUGUGAGCCCUGUGCCGAGAAAAGCCGCUAUUGUUUUAUAUGUGCCCGUACCGUAAACCGACACAGGUGGAUGAGGAGAGAAUCCUAAGGCCGGCGGAAGAAGCAUUGUUAAGGAACUCGGCAAAAUGACCCCGUAACUUCGGGAGAAGGGGUGCCCUGUGAAAGCAGGGCCGCAGAGAAUAGGCUCAAGCAACUGUUUAGCAAAAACACAGGUCUAUGCGAAACCGUAAGGUGAUGUAUAUGGGCUGACGCCUGCCCGGUGCUGGAAGGUUAAGAGGAGAGGUUAGCUUCGGCGAAGCUUUGAAUUCAAGCCCCAGUAAACGGCGGCCGUAACUAUAACGGUCCUAAGGUAGCGAAAUUCCUUGUCGGGUAAGUUCCGACCCGCACGAAAGGCGUAAUGAUUUGGGCACUGUCUCAACAAUGCACCCGGUGAAAUUGAAAUACCAGUGAAGAUGCUGGUUACCUGCGCCAGGACGGAAAGACCCCAUGGAGCUUUACUCCAGCUUGAUACUGGGAUUCGAUACUGUAUGUACAGGAUAGGUGGGAGACGUUGAGCAUAGAACGCCAGUUUUAUGUGAGUCGCUGUUGGGAUACCACCCUUGCAGUAUUGGAUUUCUAACCUGCAGCCAUGACCUGGCUGGGGGACAAUGUCUGGCGGGGAGUUUGACUGGGGCGGUCGCCUCCGAAAGGGUAUCGGAGGCGCUCAAAGGUUCCCUCAGAAUGGUCGGAAACCAUUUGAAGAGUGCAAAGGCAGAAGGGAGCUUGACUGCGACACCGACGGGUGGAGCAGGUACGAAAGUAGGACUUAGUGAUCCGGUGGUAUUAAGUGGGAAUGCCAUCGCUCAACGGAUAAAAGCUACCCUGGGGAUAACAGGCUUAUCUCCCCCAAGAGUUCACAUCGACGGGGAGGUUUGGCACCUCGAUGUCGGCUCAUCGCAUCCUGGGGCUG
This 2527-nucleotide ribosomal RNA is filed under the name human gut metagenome. RNAcentral describes it as "bacterial LSU rRNA". It matches the Rfam family "Bacterial large subunit ribosomal RNA", at positions 3 to 2555 of the family's 2925-position model. The record is from RNAcentral.